Long non-coding RNA from Cydia splendana, 428 nucleotides. RefSeq lists it as uncharacterized. The record is from RefSeq and is a predicted model, not a curated record. The transcript is spliced from 3 exons. NCBI's taxonomy places the organism in Eukaryota, Metazoa, Arthropoda, Insecta, Lepidoptera, Tortricidae.
AUCUUGUUCGGCAAAGUUACAGGGUGGACACACAUUUUACCACUUUGGAAGUGUCUCUCGCGCAAACUAUUCAGUUUAGAAUAAAAUGAUAUUAGAAACCUCAAUAUCAUUUUUGAAGACCUAUAGAUACCCCACACGUAUGAGUAGUAGUAAUAAUAAAAUUGCGGAUUACGAUUUAUGACGUAUUAAAAAAAAACUACUUACUAGAUCUCGUUCAAACCAAUUUUCGGUGGAAGUUUGCAUGGUAAUGUACAUCAUAUAUGUUUUUUAGUUUUAUCAUUCUCUUAUUUUAGAUGUUACAGGGGGGGGGGCACAUUUUACCACUUUGUAAGUGUCUCUCGCGCAAACUAUUCAGUUUAGAAAAAAAUGAUAUUAGAAACCUCAAUAUCAUUUUUGAAGACCUAUCCACCCCACACGUAUGGUUUUGA